ACCCUCUUCAUCUAGGGCAGAUGAGGGGUCUCGAUGGUCUAGAUUCAAAUAUACAAUAAAUGGUGGACCACUAUAAAAAUCAAGGGUAAGAUCCCCACAAACUAAUCACUCAGAAGCUUACACAUCACAGAGACAUCCUUCACGAAUUCACUCAAUGAUGCAACAUGCAGGUUUGCUUUAGCAUUUUCUUUUCCUGAAUUCAGCAGAUUUGGUAAUUAUGUGAUUAUGCAUAUUGCUAGAAGUGAUCGUGCAUAUUUGGACACAUUAGAAUGUAGGCAGAUCCAUGAAUUCCCUGCAUUUCAAUGAGAAUCCAGUGAUAAUGGUACAUGUAGCUGUUUUUGCAUCCUUCUUGUUGUUAAUCCUUGUUCACUAACCAAGCAAGAGCUAUGUUUGAUUGAAUUUGAUGUACAUUGUAGCUGCCAAGUGGCUGCUCUGUGUGUGUGUGUGUGACCAGUUUCAAGCGCAUUGCAGGCAGGUAGGACAGAGACAUGCCUAUGAUAACUUGAUUAAUGUAGAUGGCAUGGGCUGGGGCUGUAAUCAAAGAAAGAACAUUAUUGGUGUUCUAAGCUGCUAAGAUUUAGCAAAUAGAAUUAGAUUUCAAAAUCUGUCCAACUGUGGCACUUCAUGCGAGAUCUGUCUGGCAAUCCAAGGCCUUUAUAUGUGUGGCCUCCUGAAAAUGAGGCUGGACACCCCACCAGAUGUAGGCCCCAUCAACAAUGUUAGGUUACCCAAAAUUAGCCAUGUUUUUUUUUUUUUUUUUUUUUUGGUUCUUUCGACUACACUACUGCACUUAGGAUGGCCUUUCCCAAUUUAGCCUGUUAGUCCUUUCAGAUUAUUAAUAUAGUAUUUUUGCUAAGGCUGACAACACCAACCCCAUGACCAACUUGGUGGUAGCAGCCUUCCAACAAUAGGUUGGGUUAAAAUUGGCACAACAACUUAAACCAUUCACUUCUGUUUUGCUGCAACUAUGCACUCACUCAUUCUUACAUUUCUCUGUAGGAGGAUCUCUUUCUAUGCCAUUGGGUUACUUCACUUCUGUUAUGUUGAAUUAUCCAUGCAAGUGUGGUGGAUGCUGAUGUACAAGUGAAAGAUUGUAGCUAAUGAAUGAGCUUAGAGGCUGAGUCCAAACCACUUUGGACAGGGUAUAGGAUGAGCUUAGAAGCCCAUGGAUUGAACCCAGGCUUGAGAUUCAUACCCAGUAACUAAUUGCACACCCAAUAGCUAAUUGUUAUGUAAGAUGGACAUCGGAUAAACAAUAGUUGUUAGCCAAAAUCAGGCCAUUGAUUCCUCAAUAACUGCUUCCAUGUAAUGUAAUUGCAUCCAUUGCAUACACUGGAUGUUUUGUUUCUUCAUCCAGUGGUAUUAUGUCAUCCAAUGUAACACUAUUCCACUAGGAACAAAUUGAAACAUGUGAGGCCUUUCCUGCAUUACAAAUGGUAAACAAUGUUGAAACUAGACCAAGGAAAACUACAAGGAACUAACAAGAUGAAAACUACAAGCAAAACAGCAAUGAAACUUGGCAUUUUUAAUCCUCGAACUGCCAUUUCUUUUAACUUCCACAUUUGUGUUGUCCACAUGCUUGGUUGGUAAUGCGUGGUUUUUAUAACCAUGCAGGGACUGCCUUUCUCUUUAAUGACACUUAAAUAUUCUGAUUCAGCUGGAUCCUUUCUUAUUGUUUUUGGUCUGUCUGGUGACUCCUAUCAGCUUACCUAUGGGCAGUGGCAGUAAUGUCAUUUGUAUUUCUUAGAUAUGAUUAAUAUGUACAUAGAGAUUAGAAUUUCAGUGGGGUUACUGUGAUACAUAUUUAAAAGCUUUUUCUUACAAGUAGAAAUGACCUCCCAAGAGAUACGAGAAGCAUUCUGACCAUGAUGUCACUUGUUCUUCCAGCAGUUACUUUUGUUACUCUGUUUUGGCCCUGCUGAUUGGAAGAUGCAGAUUCUAACUUUUGUACCAUGGUUGCUUGGAGGUAAUGUUGGGUGCAGGUAUGUACAUUAAGCCAAUCAUCCAAUCAUGUGGGAUUCAAUGCUGGAAAUAUAAUUGCUGCCGGCCUUGUAUCCAUCAGCCCUAAUGGUGUAGCUCCAUCUGUUUCUAAAUUUCUGAGAGGUCUGGCCUCCUUCGUUUCUGUUCUCUGAAGGAUGCAUGUGGAGGAUCCAUGCUCUUUUGGCAUAUGGAGGCCACAUGGAAACAUGCAAGAGAUUCGAAAAUGAAUAGGUGAUUAGACCUUUGAAAUUGGUUAAUUUGGCCUUUCAUGAUUGACUUGUAAUUUGAGCUCUUUUAUCUACUUGUGGCAGACUGACAUCCAAUCUGUUGAUUAGGUGGAUGCUUUAACAACAAAACGUGGAAAAGAAGGGGGAUGGGUCAUCGAGCGGCUUCUGAACCAGGUUAAAGUCUCGGUGGAACUGAAGUUUUUGAGGCAGCUAGUGAUCGAGCUGUUUUGUUCGAUAUCAAGGCUCAAGUCUAGAAAGAGACCACUUGAUUGACACCCUACAGAAAACCAUACCGACAAAUGAGUAGCUGAAAUAAUGCGUGUGGGUUCAGCUCACAGGGCAUUGUUCUACUUCUAUAAGUUCUCAGAAGAAGAAAACGGUUGUUAUUGCUCCACUGCGUUUUGUGCAAAGAGUGAAAAAACAAAAUGAGCUUUCCUGCAGAUACAUGCACCAGGAUGCUCAUGAAUUUUUGAAUUUUUUGCUUAAUGAGCUUGUUGACAUCCUGGAGAAAGAGCACAAUUCUACAAAAGACUCUCCAGAAACUUCAUCACCAUCUGAAAAGACUGCAAAUGGGCCACAGGCUGCUCAAACCAAUGGUGGUAAAAAAGAGCCACUGGUCACCUGGGUACACAAAUUUUCAGAUGAUACUAACCAAUGAAACGUGGUGUGAAACUGUGACAGCAAGGGAUGAAACUUUUCUGGACUUGAGCCUUGAUAUCGAACAAAACAGCUCGAUCACUAGCUGCCUCAAAAACUUCAGUUCCACCGAGACUUUCAAUCAUUUUGAGCAAGCAUUGAAGAUCUCCCCAUCCGUCUCCAACAAGUUAUCUGAAUCUUUGGAAUUGUUUGGGAACACUGAAAACAUUGGAGGAGAAAAUGAUUUCUUUGGAUGUCUAUUGUCCCCUAUUUGAGGAAAAAGUAGCUAUGGAAAGUUGUUUUCCACUUCCAAAUUUUGUUCCUCAAAAAACAUGGAUAUUAAUUUCUUUAGAGAGCCUGUUCA
Long non-coding RNA from Magnolia sinica, 3207 nucleotides. RefSeq lists it as uncharacterized. The record is from RefSeq and is a predicted model, not a curated record. NCBI's taxonomy places the organism in Eukaryota, Viridiplantae, Streptophyta, Magnoliopsida, Magnoliales, Magnoliaceae. The transcript has 8 exons.